GUGCUCACUUUGACAACACAUACACUAAAACUGGAACAAUAGAGAAAAGGUUAGAUUGGACCCUGUGCAAGGAUAACAGAAAAAAAAAUAUUAAAAGCUCCAUACGUUU
This is a small nuclear RNA of Suncus etruscus (white-toothed pygmy shrew), 109 nucleotides long. The record is from RefSeq and is a predicted model, not a curated record. Lineage: Eukaryota; Metazoa; Chordata; Mammalia; Eulipotyphla; Soricidae.